RNAcentral lists this long non-coding RNA (2466 nucleotides) under Sus scrofa (pig). RNAcentral's name for it is "lncRNA (ENSSSCG00065050904.1)". The record is from RNAcentral. Lineage: Eukaryota; Metazoa; Chordata; Mammalia; Artiodactyla; Suidae.
CAGGAACUCCCUCAAUUCAAGCAAUAUUUUCUUUCCUUUUUUUCUUUUAAAUAAGUCUCUUAAAAAUUUCUUUUAUUGAAGUAUAGUUGAUUUACAAUGUUAUGUUAGUUUCUGGUGUACAGCAAAGUGAUUCAGUUAUAUUAUAUAUAUAUAUACAUACACACAUACGCGCACACACACACACACACACACAUACAUAUAUACUUUUUCAUAUUCUUUUCCAUUACAGUUAAUUACAAGAUAAUGGAUAUAUAGUUCUCUGUGCUAUACAGUAGGACUUUGUUGUUUAUUUUAUAUAUAGUAGUUUGUGUCCACUAAUCCCGAACUCCUAAUUUAUCCUUCUCCUCCCCCAGCCCCUUCCCCUUUUGAUAAUCAUAAAUUUGUUUUCUAUCUGUAAGUCUGUUUCUAGUUUGUAAAUAAAUUCAUUUGUAUCAUAUUGUAGAUUCCACAGGUAAGUGAUAUCAUGUGCUAUUUGUCUUUUUCUGUCAAGCAGUACUUUCUUUCUUUUUAAGUUUUAUUGAAGCAUAGUUUAGUUGAUUUAUAAGGUUGUGAUUAUGCCUGCUGUACAACAAAGUGAUUCCGUCAUACAUAUUCACAUAUCCAUUCUCUUUCAGUUUCUUUUCCCACAUGGAUUAUCACAGAAUAAAGUAGUACGUUCUUAAUAUUAAGCUGUCCCUGACUUGGUUGAUUAGGUAGAAAUCUUCCUAUUACAGGUCAUUUUAGAAUGAAACUAGUUGGAGUUCCUGUCGUCAUGGCUCACGAAUCUGACCAGGAACCAUGAGGUUUUGGGUUUGAUCCCUGGUCUCGCUCAGUGGGUUAAGGAUCCAGUGUUGCCGUGAGCUGUGGUGUAGGUUGCAGAUGUGGCUGGGAUCCGAUGCUGCUGUGGCUCUGGUGUAGGCUGGCGGCUACAGCUGCGAUUAGACCCCUAGCCUGGGAACCUCCAUAGGCUGUGGGUGUGGCCCUAGAAAAGAAAAAAAAAAAAAAGAAUGAAACUUGUUAUAUUUGCAAUUUUAUGUGUUUAUUAUUGGAUUAACAUCUUUCCUUUUGAAUAAGUUCCAUUAGGCAUGGACUGUAUUUAAUUGUGCUUACCAUUGCAUUUUCAGCACCUAAGGCAUUGCCUGGCAUAUAACCCUAGGCUCUUGAUAAAUAUUUGGCCAAUGACUCAGUCAAAAGGAGGAGUAAAGUCUGCAGUUGGAAAUAUUGGCCUGGAUCACACAGAAGCUAAAAAAAAAAUGAACUCUAUGAGUUGCCGUCAUGGCUCAGCAGAAACGAAUCUGACAAGCAUCCAUGAGCAUGCAGGUCUGAUCCCUGGCCUCACUCACUCGGUUAAGGAUCUGGCGUUGAUGUGAGCUGUGGUGUAGGUCUCAGAUGCGGCUCGGAUCCCAAGUUGCUGUGACUGUGGCAUAGGCCGGCAGCUACAGCUCUGAUUUGACCUCUAGCCCGGGAACCUGCAUAUGCCGUGGGUGUGGUCUCAAAAUACACACACACACACACACACACACACACAAAGAGCUCUAAUUUGGUGCUAUGGUUAUUAUAAAAAUUGUCUCAAAUAUAAGUAUUGUAGGGAUAGUGUGAAGCCAUUAUUGAUUACAUUCCCAAAGUUAGCGUAUAGCUUGUCUUUCUCCCUCUGGAUUGCUCUUCUAUGGAUGAUGCCUUCAUCUUAUCAGCUAGCCAGUGGCAAAACUUUGGGGUCAUCUUUGAGUUUCUCCAUAUCAUAUGCAUUCAGUUAGUGGUCAAAGUAGGUUCAUUUCUCUUUCAAGAUGAUUGUCACAUCUGUUUCUUUCAUUUUGGUCUCAUCGCCUCCAAAUUAAUUUAGGCUCUUGUCUUUUUGUGGCUGUAUCACUGAUCUCUCUGCCUCCUUUCUCUUUCUGAAAGACAUCUCAGCUUAUAUUUCUAUUGCCUAUGAAACAAAUUAAAUAAAAGCUCAAGUCCUUCCACAACCCUGUCUUUUUUUUUUUUUGACCACCCCUGUGGCAUGCAGAAGUUCCUUGGCUAGAGACUGACCUCGAGCCACAGCAGGAACAAUGCCAAAUCCUUAACCGCCAGGCCACCGGGGAACUCCCAGAACCCUGUUUUGAAAUUUCAACCUUAUUUUCUUCUAAUACCCUCAGUGCUUGCCAAAUUUCAAUUAUUCAGAUCCCACUAUUUUUCAUAAUUUUUGCCAUAUCUAAGACAACCUGUAUUAUUUUUUAUGCAAUAUUUUUCUUUAAAUCUUCAAACUUUUUAACUUAGUCUCAUUCUAAUUUACAAUUUCUUCAAAAUCAUGGGCUUGAUGAGGCUGAAUAUACUUCUUUUAUAAUUCAUUUAAUAACAAAUAUUACAUGUUACUGUUAAAAUAUUUACCCGAGUAUCACCUGAUAUCAUCUUAUACAUUAGUGGUGGUUUGUGGACUAUACUUUGGGGAACUUUGCUGUACCCAAAUUUCCUGCUCUACUCCCUGCCUAUAGAAUAUAUUUUUCAUGU